RNAcentral lists this ribosomal RNA (405 nucleotides) under uncultured bacterium. RNAcentral's name for it is "partial 16S ribosomal RNA". It matches the Rfam family "Bacterial small subunit ribosomal RNA", at positions 28 to 526 of the family's 1533-position model. The record is from RNAcentral.
GAUGAACGCUGGCGGCGUGCCUAAUACAUGCAAGUCGAGCGAAGCGGGGACGGGCGAGUAACACGUGGAUAACCUCCUAUAAGACUGGGAUAACUUCGGGUAACAGCAGCUAAACCGGAUGCUUAUAUAUCGAUCCGCACUGCAUUAGCUAGUUGGUAAGGUAACGGCUUACCAAGGAUACGAUGCAUAGCCGACCUGAUAGGGUGAUCGGCCACACUGGAACGGAGACACGGUACAGACUCCUACGGUAGGCAGCAGUGGGGAAUCUUCCGCAAUGGGCGAAAGCCUGACGGAGCAACGCCGCGGGAGUGAUGAAGGUCUUCGGAUCGUAAAACUCUGUUAGUAGGGAAGCGGUACCUAAUCAGAAAGCCACGGCUAACUACGUGCCAGCCGCCGCGGUAAUAC